AGGGGUGUAGCUCAGCAGUAGAGCACUUGCCUGGCAUGUGUGAGAGCCUGGGUUCAAUUCCCAGCACAACGA
RNAcentral lists this transfer RNA (72 nucleotides) under Cavia porcellus (domestic guinea pig). It matches the Rfam family "tRNA". From Rfam's summary of the family: Transfer RNA (tRNA) molecules are approximately 80 nucleotides in length. Their secondary structure includes four short double-helical elements and three loops (D, anti-codon, and T loops). Lineage: Eukaryota; Metazoa; Chordata; Mammalia; Rodentia; Caviidae. The record is from Rfam by way of RNAcentral.